UGGAGACUGGAGAGCUUGAGUGCGGAAGAGGUAAGUGGAAUUCCCAGUGUAGCGGUGAAAUGCGUAGAGAUUGGGAGGAACACCAGUGGCGAAGGCGACUUACUGGGCCGUAACUGACGCUGAGGCGCGAAAGCGUGGGGAGCGAACAGGAUUAGAUACCCUGGUAGUCCACGCUGUAAACGAUGAAUGCUAGGUGUAGGGGGUAUCGACCCCUCCUGUGCCGGAGUAAACACAAUAAGCAUUCCGCCUGGGGAGUACGGCCGCAAGGUUGAAACUCAAAGGAAUUGACGGGGGCCCGCACAAGCAGCGGAGCAUGUUGUUUAAUUCGAUGCAACGCGAAGAACCUUACCAGGUCUUGACAUUGAAGUAAGCCGUAAGAGAUUACGGGAGUCUUCGGACAACUGAAAACAGGUGGUGCAUGGUUGUCGUCAGCUCGUGUCGUGAGAUGUUGGGUUAAGUCCCGCAACGAGCGCAAC
Molecule: ribosomal RNA, 476 nt
Filed under: uncultured bacterium
Lineage: Bacteria
Description: bacterial SSU rRNA
Rfam family: Bacterial small subunit ribosomal RNA
Source: RNAcentral